CUCAUGCUGCAGCCUCGCCCAUCUCUAGAUAGUGCGUAUAACAUUCUGCUUUAGGAUGAAAGGCAAAGACAAGUUACAUCAUCACCCUCUCAGUUCCGUAGUGACUCCAGUGCUUUCAACACUUAUUUCACCAACAAAGUCCCUGGGAUACCUGCCCAUUCUAAACAGUUCAAUCAAAGAGUCGGCUUUGAUUUCAACAAGACAAACUUAGUGUGUAGAUAUUGCAAAAAACUUGGUCAUAUGAUUGACAAGUGCUACAAACUCCAUGGAUUCCCAC
This 277-nucleotide long non-coding RNA is filed under the name Nicotiana benthamiana. RNAcentral's name for it is "long non-coding RNA (NBEN_LNC002161)". Lineage: Eukaryota; Viridiplantae; Streptophyta; Magnoliopsida; Solanales; Solanaceae. The record is from RNAcentral.